UAGACAUGCAAGUCGAGCGAACAGAAGGGAGCUUGCUCCCGGAUGUUAGCGGCGGACGGGUGAGUAACACGUGGGUAACCUGCCUGUAAGACUGGGAUAACUCCGGGAAACCGGAGCUAAUACCGGAUAGUUCCUUGAACCGCAUGGUUCAAGGAUGAAAGACGGUUUCGGCUGUCACUUACAGAUGGACCCGCGGCGCAUUAGCUAGUUGGUGGGGUAAUGGCUCACCAAGGCGACGAUGCGUAGCCGACCUGAGAGGGUGAUCGGCCACACUGGGACUGAGACACGGCCCAGACUCCUACGGGAGGCAGCAGUAGGGAAUCUUCCGCAAUGGACGAAAGUCUGACGGAGCAACGCCGCGUGAGUGAUGAAGGUUUUCGGAUCGUAAAGCUCUGUUGUUAGGGAAGAACAAGUGCGAGAGUAACUGCUCGCACCUUGACGGUACCUAACCAGAAAGCCACGGCUAACUACGUGCCAGCAGCCGCGGUAAUACGUAGGUGGCAAGCGUUGUCCGGAAUUAUUGGGCGUAAAGGGCUCGCAGGCGGUUUCUUAAGUCUGAUGUGAAAGCCCCCGGCUCAACCGGGGAGGGUCAUUGGAAACUGGGAAACUUGAGUGCAGAAGAGGAGAGUGGAAUUCCACGUGUAGCGGUGAAAUGCGUAGAGAUGUGGAGGAACACCAGUGGCGAAGGCGACUCUCUGGUCUGUAACUGACGCUGAGGAGCGAAAGCGUGGGGAGCGAACAGGAUUAGAUACCCUGGUAGUCCACGCCGUAAACGAUGAGUGCUAGUGGUUU
RNAcentral lists this ribosomal RNA (792 nucleotides) under Bacillus sp. (in: firmicutes). Its description in RNAcentral is "bacterial SSU rRNA". It matches the Rfam family "Bacterial small subunit ribosomal RNA", at positions 50 to 825 of the family's 1533-position model. Lineage: Bacteria; Bacillati; Bacillota; Bacilli; Caryophanales; Bacillaceae. The record is from RNAcentral.